RNAcentral lists this ribosomal RNA (300 nucleotides) under uncultured Thermococcus sp. RNAcentral's name for it is "bacterial SSU rRNA". It matches the Rfam family "Bacterial small subunit ribosomal RNA", at positions 496 to 795 of the family's 1533-position model. The record is from RNAcentral. Lineage: Archaea; Methanobacteriati; Methanobacteriota; Thermococci; Thermococcales; Thermococcaceae.
GCCUGCUGCGUGGCAGUGGCUGUGGUAGAACGUGGGGCGCAAGGUUGUUCAUGGUUGUGUGUGGGCUGGGAGCGCGUCGGGCGUUGGUUGGUUCUGCCGGGAGAGCCCACAGCUCAACUGUGGGCUUGCGGUUGGUACGGGCGGGCUGGAGUUCGGUAGGGGAGACUGGAAUUCCUGGUGUAGCGGUGAAAUGCGCAGAUAUCAGGAGGAACACCGGGGGCGAAGGCGGGUCGCUGGGCCGAUACUGACGCUGAGGAGCGAAAGCGUGGGGAGCGAACAGGAUUAGAUACCCUUGUAGUC